GAUCUCGUAGCUCAAUUGGAUAGAGCAACUGCCUUCUAAGCAGUAGGUUGUGGGUUCGAUUCCCGCCGGGAUCA
RNAcentral lists this transfer RNA (74 nucleotides) under Bacteroidota bacterium. Its description in RNAcentral is "Bacteroidetes bacterium tRNA-Arg". It matches the Rfam family "tRNA". Rfam says of the family: Transfer RNA (tRNA) molecules are approximately 80 nucleotides in length. Their secondary structure includes four short double-helical elements and three loops (D, anti-codon, and T loops). Lineage: Bacteria; Pseudomonadati; Bacteroidota. The record is from RNAcentral. RNAcentral also lists the same sequence under 1 other name.